CAGUCGCCACGGUAAUACGAAGGGUGCAAGCGUUACUCGGAAUUACUGGGCGUAAAGCGUGCGUAGGUGGUGGUUUAAGUCCGUUGUGAAAGCCCUGGGCUCAACCUGGGAAUUGCAGUGGAUACUGGGUCACUAGAGUGUGGUAGAGGAUAGUGGAAUUUCCGGUGUAGCAGUGAAAUGCGUAGAGAUCGGAAGGAACAUCUGUGGCGAAGGCGGCCCCCUGGACGAAGACUGACGCUCAGGUGCGAAAGCGUGGGGAGCAAACAGGAUUAGAUACCCCCGUAGUCCCUGUCUCUUAUAC
Molecule: ribosomal RNA, 301 nt
Filed under: uncultured bacterium
Lineage: Bacteria
Description: partial 16S ribosomal RNA
Rfam family: Bacterial small subunit ribosomal RNA
Source: RNAcentral